CGCAUUGCACCGUCCACUAAUCCUGGAUGGUACGCCACCUUCAGCAUCAUUUCUUCCUUCACCGCAUGUGUUUGACUCUGAUGUCCAUGUGCGGAGAGUUCGAGGUUCAUGGACUUGUGUCCACGUUCCUUUAGAGAGAUGCGUGCUCCUCUGUGAUCACCUGUCCAUUUCAUGAACUUGAAUGGUCGGUGUGUCUGUCUUGAGUUGAGUGCUGCCAACUGCCUCCGGGCAAAUGGGCUCAGCCCCAAACUAUAGAUUGAUCUGAGGGUGGUGAGACUACCCGCUAGACUUAAGCAUAUUAAUCAGCGGAGGAAAAGAAACUAACAAGGAUUCCCCUAGUAACUGCGAGUGAAGCGGGAUCAGC
This 364-nucleotide unclassified non-coding RNA is filed under the name Cystoagaricus hirtosquamulosus. RNAcentral's name for it is "partial internal transcribed spacer 2". The stretch from base 258 to 364 matches the Rfam family "Eukaryotic large subunit ribosomal RNA", at positions 1 to 108 of the family's 3401-position model. The record is from RNAcentral. Lineage: Eukaryota; Fungi; Basidiomycota; Agaricomycetes; Agaricales; Psathyrellaceae.